GACGAACGCUGGCGGCGUGCCUAAUACAUGCAAGUCGAGCGGAUUUUUAGGAGCUUGCUCCUAAAAGUUAGCGGCGGACGGGUGAGUAACACGUGGGCAACCUGCCUAUAAGACUGGGAUAACUUCGGGAAACCGGAGCUAAUACCGGAUAAUUCAUAUCUACUCAUGUAGAUAUGCUGAAAGACGGUUUACGCUGUCGCUUAUAGAUGGGCCCGCGGCGCAUUAGCUAGUUGGUGAGGUAACGGCUCACCAAGGCGACGAUGCGUAGCCGACCUGAGAGGGUGAUCGGCCACACUGGGACUGAGACACGGCCCAGACUCCUACGGGUGGCUG
RNAcentral lists this ribosomal RNA (333 nucleotides) under uncultured Bacillota bacterium. RNAcentral's name for it is "bacterial SSU rRNA". It matches the Rfam family "Bacterial small subunit ribosomal RNA", at positions 28 to 351 of the family's 1533-position model. Lineage: Bacteria; Bacillati; Bacillota. The record is from RNAcentral.